UUAUAAGAGACAGCAGCAGCCGCGGUAAUACGAAGGGGGCUAGCGUUGCUCGGAAUUACUGGGCGUAAAGGGCGCGUAGGCGGCGCUCCAAGUUAGGCGUGAAAUUCCCGGGCUCAACCUGGGGACUGCGCUUAAGACUGGAGUGCUUGAGGAUGGAAGAGGGUUGUGGAAUUCCCAGUGUAGAGGUGAAAUUCGUAGAUAUUGGGAAGAACACCGGUGGCGAAGGCGGCAACCUGGUCCAUUACUGACGCUGAGGCGCGAUAGCGUGGGGAGCAAACAGGAUUAGAUACCCGUGUAGUCCCUGUCUCUUAUAC
RNAcentral lists this ribosomal RNA (314 nucleotides) under uncultured bacterium. RNAcentral's name for it is "partial 16S ribosomal RNA". It matches the Rfam family "Bacterial small subunit ribosomal RNA", at positions 499 to 807 of the family's 1533-position model. The record is from RNAcentral.